AAAAGAAAUAAACAACUAUGCUGUAAAAACAAAAGAUAAAAUUAAAAAGUCAAUAAAGUGUUUGCGGGUCAACUCUACAUGUUUCGACCGACCUGUACUGAAGAACUAUGUUGUCAAAGACGCAAGGCGCAGGCGAGGCGCAUUGGUCUCGCCCGGAGCCUAGGCGCAAGGCGCAAAAAAAGCGUAGGCUUUUUUAAGAAAAGCGCACAUAGAGAAAAAAAUAUAAAAAAUAUGGUAUGCUUUGAUAAUAAAUAAGAUUCCACAUAUAAAAUUCAAAAAACUAUUAUAUAUGCCAUUUAAGAUCAUGUAGCUAAUAGUUUUACACGCGUGAGGCAGUUUUGCACCCACCCGGUUUCGUUUUCAGUGGUCAUUUGUGCUGUUUUACCUUUUUCCCUGCGCCUCAACAACGUUCUUUGCGCCUAGGCGCGCGCUUUUUGCGCCUCAGCACGGUUUUUAAAAAAAAAAAACAUUUUUGCGCCUAGGCUACCACCAGGUGCUAUAGGCGCGCCUCGCUGCGCCCGGGCGCCUAGGCGCGCACUUUUUGCGCUUUUGACAACAUAGCUGAAGAAUUGUUUGUUUUGACCCGUAUUCAGUGUGCAACACAAAGUCGUCGAUGUCUUUCCUAAGCAUAUCUUCUCUGUAAACUGCCUGCAACAAGAGACUCAAUAGCAGCAUCUGAUUUUCUCUGCAUAGAAACUAAGAGUUAGUAUGGAACUAUAAGCCCGGUUUUCUCAAUGACAAGCGUAAACGUGCACACACCUUCUGAUCAACGGCUAUAGAUUUCAACUGCUCGUUCUCAUUCAUCAGCUUUGCGAUUUCAUCAGCUUUUGCCUGUAACAGAUAAUUGUAAUGAUUUGAGGACAACUGAACAUACAAAAAUAUUGCAAAAACGAAGAGUCUUUUCUACAUUGUUUAGAACAUAUCAUCCAAA
Helianthus annuus (common sunflower) is the source of this 931-nucleotide long non-coding RNA. RefSeq lists it as uncharacterized. The record is from RefSeq and is a predicted model, not a curated record. NCBI's taxonomy places the organism in Eukaryota, Viridiplantae, Streptophyta, Magnoliopsida, Asterales, Asteraceae. The transcript is spliced from 3 exons.